CAGCAGCCGCGGUAAUACGUAGGGUGCGAGCGUUAAUCGGAAUUACUGGGCGUAAAGCGUGCGCAGGCGGUUAUAUAAGACAGAUGUGAAAUCCCCGGGCUCAACCUGGGACCUGCAUUUGUGACUGUAUAGCUAGAGUACGGUAGAGGGGGAUGGAAUUCCGCGUGUAGCAGUGAAAUGCGUAGAUAUGCGGAGGAACACCGAUGGCGAAGGCAAUCCCCUGGACCUGUACUGACGCUCAUGCACGAAAGCGUGGGGAGCAAACAGGAUUAGAUACCCCGGUAGUCCCUGUCUCUUAUAC
Molecule: ribosomal RNA, 301 nt
Filed under: uncultured bacterium
Lineage: Bacteria
Description: partial 16S ribosomal RNA
Rfam family: Bacterial small subunit ribosomal RNA
Source: RNAcentral